GAGGUCUAAAAGUCACAUCAAUCAGUUUCAACACCAAGAUUGGGGCUCUCUACAAGAUGUACAUCACUGGACAUCUCUUGGUCUCGAAGACUACACCAUUUCCUAGCCAACCAGAUGUGCUAGGGGAUGUAGACUACCUAGAUGGCAGCAUAUCUAGACUCAUCACCCCUACUCUUCGCCUCAAAAGAUCAAGGAACACCUCGGUCGGAUCUUCAAUUGGAAUAAUCUGAUGAUACUGACUCGCUAACAACCACACUUGUUUAGUCAAUGGCAUAAAAAAGGGUGUGCUCCAUCGUUUCCUCCUCUGCUCCGCAACAAGGGCAACAGCUCAAUAUCCAUACCCCUCUCCUUCAAAAUAGUUCUGAUCGGAAGCCAUUCCCAAACCACCUUUCAAAGAAAGAGGCUCAUCCUCGAACGCACCUUAAGCAAUACCAGAUAUUAUUGAGUAGC
This 450-nucleotide long non-coding RNA is filed under the name Elaeis guineensis (African oil palm). RNAcentral describes it as "long non-coding RNA (EGUI_LNC000148)". The record is from RNAcentral. Lineage: Eukaryota; Viridiplantae; Streptophyta; Magnoliopsida; Arecales; Arecaceae.